UCAAUAUACGGUCAUAAAUGUAGCAAAUUCGUGCUUGUGUCAAUUUCUUUAAUCCAGUCAUGUUUUUUGUACCAAUGUGUUCCACGAUUCUUGCGCUUUGGAUAUCAUUGAAAGUCCAAAUUUCUUGACACAAAAUCAUUGUAUAAAUAAAUAAAAUCCACGGUUUUCUAAUCACCGAAAUUUCAGUAACAUACCGCGAUUUGCGUUCUUGGACACAGCGUUUUACUCGUAACCCGAAUAUAUCAUCCCCUUCUCGUAACCAAUCUCUAUUCUCGGUAGAUGAUGUUGUCAUCAAUGAUCAGCAGAAUAUGUCGACUUAAUCAUUUUAGUUAGAUUACUCGAAUAAUAGCCUGGGCAACGCGCAGCUAGAUUGGGACGGGAUGCCAGGCUAACUCGAAGAAGUACAAAACCGAAA
RNAcentral lists this long non-coding RNA (415 nucleotides) under Mytilus galloprovincialis (Mediterranean mussel). The record is from RNAcentral. Lineage: Eukaryota; Metazoa; Mollusca; Bivalvia; Mytilida; Mytilidae.